RNAcentral lists this long non-coding RNA (203 nucleotides) under Carica papaya (papaya). RNAcentral describes it as "long non-coding RNA (CPAP_LNC014537)". Lineage: Eukaryota; Viridiplantae; Streptophyta; Magnoliopsida; Brassicales; Caricaceae. The record is from RNAcentral.
GGAAGGCAACCUCAUUUAACCAAAACUCACACAUCUUAAACUUGACAUACAACUUCUUUUUCUUAAGUAUUCCAAGCACUAUUGUCAAAUGCUUUGCAUGUUCAACCUCUCUCCGUGAAUAAAUCAGUAUAUCAUCAAUGAAAACAAUGACAACCUUAUCUAAGAAUGGCUAGAAGACUCUGUUCAUCAAAUCCAUAAAUGCU